GACGAACGCUGGCGGCGUGCUUAACACAUGCAAGUCGAACGGAAAGGCCCUGCUUGUGUGGGGUGCUCGAGUGGCGAACGGGGGAGUAACACGUGAGUAACCUGCCCUUGACUUUGGGAUAACUUCAGGAAACGGGGGCUAAUACCGGAUAGGAGCUCCUGCUGCAUGGUGGGGGUUGGAAAGUUUCGGCGGUUGGGGAUGGACUCGCGGCUUAUCAGCUUGCUGGUGGGGUGGGGGCUUACCAAGGCUUUGACGGGUAGCCCGCCUGGGAGGGUGACCGGCCACCUUGGGCCUGCGAUACGGCCCAGACUCCUACGUGAGGCAGCAGUGGCGAAUAUUGCCCAAUCGGCGCACGCCUGAUGCAGCAACCCCGCGUGCGGGAUGACGGCCUUCGGGUUGUAAACCGCUUUCGCCUGUGACGAAGCGUGAGUGACGGUACUGGGUAAAGAAGCACCGGCUAACUACGUG
This 468-nucleotide ribosomal RNA is filed under the name uncultured bacterium. Its description in RNAcentral is "partial 16S ribosomal RNA". It matches the Rfam family "Bacterial small subunit ribosomal RNA", at positions 28 to 507 of the family's 1533-position model. The record is from RNAcentral.